UCGAUUUAUUGGUGUUCUUUAUGUAUGAUGUAUUAAUCCUCCUGUUCUUUAGUUGAUUAGGUUAUUGUGUCUUUUUGUAAUUUUUAUUUGUAUUUAGCACAUAUGGGCAAACACUAUUUGGAUGUGUCUGAUACCACUUGUGUUCUCUGAUCAUUUCUGAUCUUUGACCUUGCUGUCACCUCUGACCCACGACUGUCCUCCGGUCUUCACUCUCCAGAGCUUUCUGGCUUCUGACUCCCCUGACCUCCUUGGCUUGGCCUCCCCCCAGGUUUGUGAAUGGGGCAGGUUACUUUGCUGCUGUGGCAGAUGCCAUCCUUCGAGCUCAAGAGGAGAUUUUCAUCACAGACUGGUGGUUGAGUCCUGAGGUUUACCUGAAGCGUCCGGCCCAUUCAGAUGACUGGAGACUGGACAUUAUGCUCAAGAGGAAGGCGGAGGAGGGUGUCCGCGUGUCUAUUCUGCUGUUUAAAGAAGUGGAAUUGGCCUUGGGCAUCAACAGUGGCUAUAGCAAGAGGGCGCUGAUGCUGCUGCACCCCAACAUAAAGGUGAUGCGUCACCCAGACCAAGUGACGUUGUGGGCCCAUCAUGAGAAGCUCCUGGUGGUGGACCAAGUGGUAGCAUUCCUGGGGGGACUGGACCUUGCCUAUGGCC
This 648-nucleotide small RNA is filed under the name Pan troglodytes (chimpanzee). RNAcentral describes it as "retained intron". The record is from RNAcentral. Lineage: Eukaryota; Metazoa; Chordata; Mammalia; Primates; Hominidae.